This 686-nucleotide ribosomal RNA is filed under the name uncultured eukaryote. RNAcentral describes it as "SSU rRNA". It matches the Rfam family "Eukaryotic small subunit ribosomal RNA", at positions 508 to 1199 of the family's 1831-position model. The record is from RNAcentral.
AUUGGAAUGAGUACAAUUUACAUCUCUUCACGAGGAUCAAUUGGAGGGCAAGUCUGGUGCCAGCAGCCGCGGUAAUUCCAGCUCCAAUAGCGUAUAUUAAAGUUGUUGCAGUUAAAACGCUCGUAGUCGGAUUUCGGGGCAGGUUUGCCGGUCUGCCGAUGGGUAUGCACUGGUAGAACUGUCCUUCCUUCCGGAGACGGCGCCUACUCUUAACUGAGCGGGUGUCGGAGACGGAUCGUUUACUUUGAAAAAAUCAGAGUGUUUCAAGCAGGCAGCUCGCUUUUGCAUGGAUUAGCAUGGGAUAAUGAAAUAGGACUUUGGUGCUAUUUUGUUGGUUUCGAACACCGAAGUAAUGAUUAACAGGGACAGUCAGGGGCACUCGUAUUCCGCCGAGAGAGGUGAAAUUCUUAGACCAGCGGAAGACGAACCACUGCGAAAGCAUUUGCCAGGGAUGUUUUCACUGAUCAAGAACGAAAGUUAGGGGAUCGAAGACGAUCAGAUACCGUCGUAGUCUUAACCAUAAACCAUGCCGACUAGGGAUUGGAGGAUGUUCCUAUGUGACUCCUUCAGCACCUUUCGGGAAACUAAAGUCUUUGGGUUCCGGGGGGAGUAUGGUCGCAAGGCUGAAACUUAAAGGAAUUGACGGAAGGGCACCACCAGGAGUGGAGCCUGCGGCUUAAUUUGAC